Molecule: small nucleolar RNA, 214 nt
Organism: Calliphora vicina (urban bluebottle blowfly)
Lineage: Eukaryota; Metazoa; Arthropoda; Insecta; Diptera; Calliphoridae
Product: small nucleolar RNA U3
Exons: 1
Source: RefSeq, a predicted model, not a curated record
AAGACUAUACUUCACAGGAUCAUUUCUGUAGUCAGUCUUCAUUUAUUUUCAUUGCAAAAUGAAAAACACUAAAACCGCGAUGAGGAGGUGUAUCGUUUUAUCUGUAGCGUGAGGUUUUGAACUUUGCCUUUUAUUUUCAUCUUACCGAUGGAAUUAAGGCAAUGUUUCUUCGAUGAUCGCUUGGUUUACACGGAUAGAACGACUUCUGAGUGGC